UAACUGAAGAGUUUGAUCAUGGCUCAGAUUGAACGCUGGCGGCAGGCUUAACACAUGCAAGUCGAGCGGGGGAAGGUAGCUUGCUACUGGACCUAGCGGCGGACGGGUGAGUAAUGCUUAGGAAUCUGCCUAUUAGUGGGGGACAACAUCUCGAAAGGGAUGCUAAUACCGCAUACGUCCUACGGGAGAAAGCAGGGGAUCUUCGGACCUUGCGCUAAUAGAUGAGCCUAAGUCGGAUUAGCUAGUUGGUGGGGUAAAGGCCUACCAAGGCGACGAUCUGUAGCGGGUCUGAGAGGAUGAUCCGCCACACUGGGACUGAGACACGGCCCAGACUCCUACGGGAGGCAGCAGUGGGGAAUAUUGGACAAUGGGGGGAACCCUGAUCCAGC
RNAcentral lists this ribosomal RNA (389 nucleotides) under Acinetobacter baumannii. Its description in RNAcentral is "bacterial SSU rRNA". It matches the Rfam family "Bacterial small subunit ribosomal RNA", at positions 1 to 392 of the family's 1533-position model. Lineage: Bacteria; Pseudomonadati; Pseudomonadota; Gammaproteobacteria; Moraxellales; Moraxellaceae. The record is from RNAcentral.